UUCCGGUUGAUCCUGCCGGAGGUCAUUGCUAUUGGGGUCCGAUUUAGCCAUGCUAGUUGCACGAGUUCACACUCGUGGCGAAAAGCUCAGUAACACGUGGCCAAACUACCCUACAGAGAACGAUAACCUCGGGAAACUGAGGCUAAUAGUUCAUACGGGAGUCAUGCUGGAAUGCCGGCUCCCCGAAACGCUCCGGCGCUGUAGGAUGUGGCUGCGGCCGAUUAGGUAGACGGUGGGGUAACGGCCCACCGUGCCAAUAAUCGGUACGGGUUGUGAGAGCAAGAACCCGGAGACGGAAUCUGAGACAAGAUUCCGGGCCCUACGGGGCGCAGCAGGCGCGAAACCUUUACACUGCACGCAAGUGCGAUAAGGGGACCCCAAGUGCGAGGGCAUAUAGUCCUCGCUUUUCUCGACUGUAAGGCGGUCGAGGAAUAAGAGCUGGGCAAGACCGGUGCCAGCCGCCGCGGUAAUACCGGCAGCUCAAGUGAUGACCGAUAUUAUUGGGCCUAAAGCGUCCGUAGCCGGCCACGAAGGUUCAUCGGGAAAUCCGCCAGCUCAACUGGCGGGCGUCCGGUGAAAACCACGUGGCUUGGGACCGGAAGGCUCGAGGGGUACGUCUGGGGUAGGAGUGAAAUCCUGUAAUCCUGGACGGACCACCGAUGGCGAAAGCACCUCGAGAAGACGGAUCCGACGGUGAGGGACGAAAGCUAGGGUCUCGAACCGGAUUAGAUACCCGGGUAGUCCUAGCUGUAAACGAUGCUCGCUAGGUGUGGCACAGGCUACGAGCCUGUGCUGUGCGCGUAGGGAAGCCGUGAAGCGAGCCGCCUGGGAAGUACGUCCCGCAAGGAUGAAACUUAAAGGAAUUGGCGGGGGAGCACUACAACCGGAGGAGCCUGCGGUUUAAUUGGACUCAACGCCGGACAUCUCACCAGCUCCGACUAUAGUAAUGACGGUCAGGUUGAUGACCUUACCACGACGCUAUAGAGAGGAGGUGCAUGGCCGCCGUCAGCUCGUACCGUGAGGCGUCCUGUUAAGUCAGGCAACGAGCGAGACCCGCACUUCUAAUUGCCAGCAACAGUUUCGACUGGUUGGGUACAUUAGAAGGACUGCCGCUGCUAAAGCGGAGGAAGGAACGGGCAACGGUAGGUCAGUAUGCCCCGAAUGAGCUGGGCUACACGCGGGCUACAAUGGUCAAGACAAUGGGUUGCUAUCUCGAAAGAGAACGCUAAUCUCCUAAACUUGAUCGUAGUUCGGAUUGAGGACUGAAACUCGUCCUCAUGAAGCUGGAUUCGGUAGUAAUCGCAUUUCACAAGAGU
Molecule: ribosomal RNA, 1316 nt
Filed under: Haloferax mediterranei
Lineage: Archaea; Methanobacteriati; Methanobacteriota; Halobacteria; Halobacteriales; Haloferacaceae
Description: bacterial SSU rRNA
Rfam family: Archaeal small subunit ribosomal RNA
Source: RNAcentral